GACGAACGCUGGCGGCAUGCCUAACACAUGCAAGUCGAACGAGACCUUCGGGUCUGGUGGCGCACGGGUGCGUAACGCGUGGGAACCUUCCUUGAGGUUCGGAAUAACUCAGAGAAAUUUGAGCUAAUACCGGAUGAUGUCUUCGGACCAAAGAGUUAUCGCCGUUAGAUGGGCCCGCGUUGGAUUAGCUAGUUGGUGGGGUAAAGGCCUACCAAGGCGACGAUCCAUAGCUGGUCUGAGAGGAUGACCAGCCACACUGGGACUGAGACACGGCCCAGACUCCUACGGGAGGCAGCAGUGGGGAAUAUUGGACAAUGGAGGAAACUCUGAUCCAGCGAUGCCGCGUGAGUGAUGAAGUACUUCGGGUUGUAAAGCUCUUUCACCCGAGAUGAUAAUGACGGUACCGGGAGAAGAAGCGCCGGCUAACUACGUG
Molecule: ribosomal RNA, 433 nt
Filed under: uncultured bacterium
Lineage: Bacteria
Description: partial 16S ribosomal RNA
Rfam family: Bacterial small subunit ribosomal RNA
Source: RNAcentral